AACGAACGCUGGCGGCAUGCCUAACACAUGCAAGUCGAACGAGACCUUCGGGUCUAGUGGCGCACGGGUGCGUAACGCGUGGGAACCUGCCUUUAGGUUCGGGAAUAACUCAGAGAAAUUUGAGCUAAUACCGGAUGAUGUCUUCGGACCAAAGAUUUAUCGCCUUUAGAUGGGCCCGCGUAAGAUUAGCUAGUUGGUGGGGUAAAGGCCUACCAAGGCGACGAUCUUUAGCUGGUCUGAGAGGAUGAUCAGCCACACUGGGACUGAGACACGGCCCAGACUCCUACGGGAGGCAGCAGUGGGGAAUAUUGGACAAUGGGCGAAAGCCUGAUCCAGCCAUGCCGCGUGCAGGAUGAAGGCCUUCGGGUU
Molecule: ribosomal RNA, 369 nt
Filed under: uncultured bacterium
Lineage: Bacteria
Description: bacterial SSU rRNA
Rfam family: Bacterial small subunit ribosomal RNA
Source: RNAcentral